AACGAACGCUGGCGGCAGGCCUAACACAUGCAAGUCGAGCGAGAUCUUCGGGUCUAGCGGCGGACGGGUGAGUAACGCGUGGGAAUAUGCCCUUCUCUGUGGAAUAGCCUCGGGAAACUGAGCGUAAUACCGCAUACGCCCUUUGGGGGAAAGAUUUAUCGGAGAAGGAUUAGCCCGCGUUGGAUUAGGUAGUUGGUGGGGUAACGGCCUACCAAGCCGACGAUCCAUAGCUGGUUUGAGAGGAUGAUCAGCCACACUGGGACUGAGACACGGCCCAGACUCCUACGGGAGGCAGCAGUGGGGAAUCUUAGACAAUGGGGGCAACCCUGAUCUAGCCAUGCCGCGUGAGUGAUGAAGGCCUUAGGGUUGUAAAGCUCUUUCAGCUGGGAAGAUAAUGACGGUACCAGCAGAAGAAGCCCCGGCUAACUCCGUG
This 433-nucleotide ribosomal RNA is filed under the name uncultured bacterium. RNAcentral's name for it is "partial 16S ribosomal RNA". It matches the Rfam family "Bacterial small subunit ribosomal RNA", at positions 29 to 507 of the family's 1533-position model. The record is from RNAcentral.